GACGAACGCUGGCGGCGUGCCUAAUACAUGCAAGUUGAGCGCUGAAGGUUGGUACUUGUACCGACUGGAUGAGCAGCGAACGGGUGAGUAACGCGUGGGGAAUCUGCCUUUGAGCGGGGGACAACAUUUGGAAACGAAUGCUAAUACCGCAUAAAAACUAUAAACACAAGUUUUAAGUUUGAAAGAUGCAAUUGCAUCACUCAAAGAUGAUCCCGCGUUGUAUUAGCUAGUUGGUGAGGUAAAGGCUCACCAAGGCGAUGAUACAUAGCCGACCUGAGAGGGUGAUCGGCCACAUUGGGACUGAGACACGGCCCAAACUCCUACGGGAGGCAGCAGUAGGGAAUCUUCGGCAAUGGACGAAAGUCUGACCGAGCAACGCCGCGUGAGUGAAGAAGGUUUUCGGAUCGUAAAACUCUGUUGGUAGAGAAGAACGUUGGUGAGAGUGGAAAGCUCAUCAAGUGACGGUAACUACCCAGAAAGGGACGGCUAACUACGUG
RNAcentral lists this ribosomal RNA (497 nucleotides) under uncultured bacterium. RNAcentral's name for it is "partial 16S ribosomal RNA". It matches the Rfam family "Bacterial small subunit ribosomal RNA", at positions 28 to 507 of the family's 1533-position model. The record is from RNAcentral.